AGGGUUUGAUUCUGGCUCAGGAUGAACGCUGGCGGCGUGCUUAACACAUGCAAGUCGAACGGAGAACCCUUGACGGAGUUUUCGGACAACGGAUAGGAAUUCUUAGUGGCGGACGGGUGAGUAACGCGUGAGGAACCUGCCUUGGAGAGGGGAAUAACACAGAGAAAUUUGUGCUAAUACCGCAUGAUGCAGUUGGGUCGCAUGGCUCUGACUGCCAAAGAUUUUAUCGCUCUGAGAUGGCCUCGCGUCUGAUUAGCUAGUUGGUGGGGCAACGGCCCACCAAGGCGACGAUCAGUAGCCGGACUGAGAGGUUGACCGGCCACAUUGGGACUGAGACACGGCCCAG
Molecule: ribosomal RNA, 346 nt
Filed under: uncultured bacterium
Lineage: Bacteria
Description: bacterial SSU rRNA
Rfam family: Bacterial small subunit ribosomal RNA
Source: RNAcentral